GGGGCUGUUUUUGGAUUUGACAAAAUUAUCAACAAAGUAAAGUGCAUGCCGAGGAACGGUUUGCCUCGAUAAAAGCCGUAAAACAAUAAUUGCAAAUAAUACACAAAAAUACGCUUUAGCAGCUUAAAAAACUGUAUCAAGCCCUUCCUUCUUAGCCUUUUUCUCUUAGGAUGAGAAAUUCGGGAGGUCAUAAAAAAGAGAAAAACGUGAACAUCAAGCUUGAUGAUGACACGAAGAAAUUUUUCAAGCUAUAAACCUAAAAUGCGUUUUUCCAAAUUAGGUAAUGAAUUGAAUAAAGAAAAAACUAAGCAUGUAGUACUUUAUUCGUAGAGAUUUUGGACGCGGGUUCAAAUCCCGCCAGCUCCAA
This 367-nucleotide transfer-messenger RNA is filed under the name Buchnera aphidicola (Macrosiphum gaurae). It matches the Rfam family "transfer-messenger RNA". Rfam says of the family: Bacterial tmRNA, also known as 10Sa RNA or SsrA, is named for its dual tRNA and mRNA-like properties. Its role is to liberate the mRNA from a stalled ribosome. Lineage: Bacteria; Pseudomonadati; Pseudomonadota; Gammaproteobacteria; Enterobacterales; Erwiniaceae. The record is from RNAcentral.